Long non-coding RNA from Beta vulgaris subsp. vulgaris (sugar beet), 3849 nucleotides. RefSeq lists it as uncharacterized. Lineage: Eukaryota; Viridiplantae; Streptophyta; Magnoliopsida; Caryophyllales; Amaranthaceae. The transcript is spliced from 2 exons. The record is from RefSeq and is a predicted model, not a curated record.
ACGAAUCAAAUAAGAUCCAACAUGACUACGUUUUUUCUUAUGUAUAUGGAGUAAAAGAUAAUCAAAGUUAUGACGUGAAUAAUGCCUACUGCCAAAAAUGUACAACUAAUUUGGGUAUGUCCGAGAUGAACUAAUGAUCCUAAGCACCCAUAAAAGGAGCUAAAGGGGGCAAAGUUAGGGUUCUUUCUAAAGAAUGAGGCUGGGAGAGGCUUUGGGAGUUUCCUGAGGACCGUUUUGCCCCUCUCCCAUGAUGAUCUCCGAUCAUCUUUAGCUGAUGAUUUCUCCGACCACCUUAAAACGGCCCUCUAAUUUACUCUGCGCGAUAAGCUUAACGAGCUUCUGUAAUCAUAAAUCAUCAUCAUCUUCAGUCUUCACUCCUCAACAACAAAAACAAAAGUUGAAAAAUACUUCCUCCGUUUCAUAGAGGCUAUGAUGAGAAGAAAUAGUUCAAAGUAGUCAAAUUUAAUUUAGUUUGAAGCGUUUUUUGAGGUGGGUUUUUUUGCAAUUAGGCUUGGCAGCAACUUUUGGGACUUGGGUCUUAAAUUUUGCUUUGCCGCCAAUGGUAAUUUUCCUACCUUAAAAUGCUCACUAAAUUGGUUGAUGAAAUGCGGAUCUGAGCCUCUUUAAUUUACCACAUUCAUUUUUUUUUUAUUCAUAUGAGCCACGAAUGCGAUAUAAAGUACAAAGAAGGUGAAGGGGGAUUUGAACCUAUUCACAGCACCUCAAUUUUAACCAGUAGGCCAAGACAUCCUUGGUAAUUUACCACAUUCAUGGAAAAGUUGAUCUUUUGUCAUGGACUUGGGAAUCUACAUGCAGUGCCUCUGUGGUCUCCCUGUUGAUGCCAACCAACUGUUGUGGGAACAGAUAUGAGCCUUUCUACUCUUCCAUGCUUGGUACUAUUAAGAUAAACUAAUGGUAUUGCUUAAGCUGCACAAUACCCCCUCUUCUAUUGAGAUACUACAAUAAAGAAUAGAACAUGCUACCUACUGAUCUUCAUGUUAGCGCUCUCUCCAACUGAGCUAUCCUGAACAUAUAUUCAUUGUCUUGGUAAUGAUUCCAGCGUAACUUAUUGGAGGCAAUGAUGAAUUUCCCCCUCAUAUCUUCAGAAUAAGGCUAUGUUUAGUUCACCUUAUAAGGGUGCAUUCUCUUCACCCAGACUUACCUGAACUGAACGGAACUGAACUUAGACUUGAUUGGACCCAUUCAGCUGUAAUUUCACCUUUGCGUUUACUUACUCCUGAUUGGGAUCGAUCAGCCUGAAACUUAUUUUGUAAGAUGAAGAGAAUGCACCCUAAGCUUGUUUUCAGCUCUUGCGAAAAAAAGACUAGACGGUCCUUUGCCAUGUGCCUGGCAGCAGCAUUUGCUUGGUUUGCCGCCGUGGCUUGACCGAAAGUCUCUUCCUAUGUUUGAUUAAGGGUGAAUCUGAGCCUCCUCUCUCUCUCUCUCUUUCACUCACUGUGUAUGUGGUGUGUGUCUGUCUCUUUCUCUGUACCUUCUUAAAUCAUCCAAAGUUUUAUAUGAUGAGGCUGGGAGAGGCUUUCUGGGAGUUUUGAGGACUGUUUUGCCCCUCUCCUAUGAUGACAAGCAGUCAUCUUUAGCCAAUGACUGAUCUGAAAACCCAUAAAAUGGUCCUCUAAUUUGCCCUGCUCGGGGGCUUUUAACGGCCUUUCAAUCAUGAAUCAUCAUCAUCCACUUCACUCUCCUCAAAAAAGAAAAAAAAAUAUUAUACUUCCUCCGUUUCAUAGAGGCGGUGAUGAGAAGAUAUCGUUCAAAGUAGUCAUAUUCAUUUUGGUUUGAAGCGUUUUUCGAGGUGGAUUUUUUGCCAUUAGGCUUGGCAGCAACUUUUGGGUCUUAAAAUUUGCUUUGCCGCCAAUGGUAAUUUCCUUACCUUAAAAUGCUCACUAAAUUGGUUGAUGAAAUGUGGAUCUGAGCCUCCUUAAUUUACCACAUCCAAGAAAAUUUGAGAAAGUCUUCAUUUUUGUUAUUGUUACAUGUGAUUAUUGACGAAAUGACAUGAAUAUUUCUUUGCAUGUAAUUAUCUAUUAUUGGUGUGGGUACAACUUCCUUUUUUGGGCAUGUGAACUUGUUAUGUCUGAUAUUGUUUUGAAGAAAAGAAAAUUGAAGUUGAGGUUUUUGGUUUUUGAAACUUGUCAAUUUUGUUGCAAUGUUGAGUUUGUUGAAUGUAUAUGUUAAGGUCAGUUACUCAGUUCUUUUGUGGUUGAAAUGUGCAGGUUACUUGCAUGGGUUUUGGUGAAAAGUCAGGUGUAAGAAUUAGGGUAGAAAAUGCUGUAGAAACUUUGUAAACUUAUGUGGUAAUGUUUUGAGUACUAUUGCAUGGGCGUCAAUUCAUCUAGUACCCAUAAAUCAUAGAACUUGAGGAAAACUCUGACACUAAUAAGUAAUCUUUAGUGUGUUUUAUGUUUUACAAUUUUUGCAGUCUACUUUGGUUUUGCAAAUAUUAUGUUUGCAUUCAUCAUAUUGUGCGUUAAUCAAAUUUGGUGGACAGCAAUAGUUUGAUUUUGAGUAUAUUGACUGCCUUGUGAACUUUCGUGAAGAGGUACCCUUUGAUUUUUAUAUGAUCAAUGAGGUAAAUUGCAGGUUUUUAUGUGUUAUUGUUGGAUAUUUGAUGUCUGCUGCUUGAAUAAGUCGGUACUUUCGGGUGUGAAUCAACUGCUUGAUGAAAUGAAUAUAGGUAGUCUGAGAUUAUUCAAUGUAGUCAUGUCACGUGCUCUUUGAACAUCAGGUGUCUUGCUCCAUAUUGCACGUCCAUCAUCUUGUUGCUUUUUUUGUGCUUCCUUUUCUUUACAUGUAAAUAGUUAGUAGACCAAAUGAGUAUGUGAAUUGAACGAAAUGGUUCAACGUAAUUGUUGCUGGUUUGCCAUUGAGCCACGAAUAUAUGAUAUGCAGGUUGAAUUUUUCUCACUGACUUGGGCAAUCUAUAUGCAGUGCCUCUAUGGUCUCCCUGUUGAUGCCAACCAACUCAUCAGUGAUUGCUGAUGCUAGUAAUUGUUGAGGGUUUGCUCAGCGGAUGAUUUUGUUGGACUACCUCUCUUUACUUUCUCAUUUGUCCGUGUUCAUGCAAUGGUGCCUCUCGUUGGUGCCACCAUGGAAAGUCGACCUCCCCUUGUUUCCUUUAUCCUCCAUCUAAAACAAUACUUGGGAGUUGACGUGUUGGGAUAAGUAGGAUAAUGGAAUGACUUCAUUCAUAUAGAACUGACCAUCUCUAUCAUACUGUUAGUUAGAUUCAAUAACCAAAAAACAGGAAUGGCUUUAUUGUUGUCUGCAUUGGAUUUUACCCAAAGUAUCAACAGUUGGGAAACAAAGACAACAAAUGUGGAAAUUUUGUGGCAUUUAAUUGUAUCUCUUUCUCUGUUCAGCGCUCUAUUUUCCUCUGCAGCGAAAAGAAAUUACCGUGUUUAUCCAUGGAGCAAUCUAAAUGACAGCUCUAGCCUCUAGAUGAUUCACCAAGCAAGGAUCCGAAAGGCAGCCAUCAAUCUUCUUGGUCCAAGGAGAACAACAUUUUUUCUCUGAUCAUUGUCGUUCUUGUAUGCAUGAAAGUGGCAGCAAGUAGUAAUGAGGGUAAGGCGUAUUUUCACCCCCAAAGUGCCCCUGGUGUCUAGUGAGGUUUGAUCCGACAAUUGUAUUGUAUAAGAUACAAAUUAUGAGGAUGUUAUCUUGGAUUUUCAGUCCUUAAUAUUAGAUCUGUGUAUAUCGUGGGUAAAUACUAAAUACCUAAGAAUCUUUACAUUAAUUUUUGACCCCUAAACAAAAGUAAUGUAAAGAUCUUUGUUGAACUGUAAUAAUUGUCUUAGUGUGGAAAAAUGAAGUGAUGAUGGAGUAUUGUGUUCA